GGGCUUAUAGCUCAGUUGGUUAGAGCGCUCGUCUGAUAAGCGGGAGGUCGAAGGUUCAAAUCCUUCUGGGCCCACCA
This 77-nucleotide transfer RNA is filed under the name Firmicutes bacterium CAG:884. RNAcentral describes it as "transfer RNA-Ile(GAT)". It matches the Rfam family "tRNA". From Rfam's summary of the family: Transfer RNA (tRNA) molecules are approximately 80 nucleotides in length. The record is from RNAcentral. RNAcentral also lists the same sequence under 1 other name. Lineage: Bacteria; Bacillati; Bacillota.